CAUCUCGCGUUCUUGUCAUGAGAAUGAGGAAGUGUCGUUCCCAAGAUGAACGGACGAGAGACGUGUAAUGAUCCAGAUGACCGUGACGUUCCCAGUGACGGAGACCAGGAUGAUAAGGGAGUAGGCUAAAGCCCACAGAGCCACCUGACGGGAAGGGGGAACGGUCACAGUUGGGCUGCUGGAAUUGAUUCCCCACGGUCUCAUUCGUGUCCUCCAACCAGGCUGGAAGCGUGACUGGCAGUGGUAGCGAUGUACCCUCUUGGUCUCGUUCCAAGUGCCGGAUCAAACUGUCCAUGUUCUCUGUCCUGCUUCACCUGCUCAAAUGGAAAAAUGUGCUGUCACAAAUUUACAUUAAGAUCAAUUUCUGUUCCUCAAUGUAUAUUUCUUGUUAAUAUUUAGUUAUGCCUGACCGGACCGUGAUAGGUGAAUUCUGCAAAUUGGUGUUCAAUAUUAAUGCAUGUAAUAUUUAAAAAAAAAAAAAAUUAAAAAAUGUGUUAAUGACUUUCAAAAUCCAAUUUUUUUUACCAUUAUUAGAGCCCUAUAGACAUGAAAUAGCACCCCGUAGUCACCUUUAUAAUCCUAUUAUUUUACAACACAUUGCUCACCUGGAUUGUAUAGGCUAUGUGAUCACUGUGCUUUGUUUGGCAUGAAAUAAGCUAUGAAAAUAAAUGUUAAAAAUAGUUAUUUUCAUUUUUGUAAAAGUAGCUUUCACAAGAAAAAAACCUUAUUAACCCUUAAUACAGCCAGUAGUGCAUUUCAAUAUUUACACAUACGUACAUAUGUGAUCGGUAUCGGCCGAUGUCAUUCACGGAUUAUUGGGAUCCAUCCACAUCCCUAAUUACAAGACUGCAAUUGUGUCCCCAACCCUGUCUGCUAGUUUCUUGGUGAAUUGUGCAUGAGUCUUAACACAAAAACACAUGUAGCUGUACUAUCUGUCAGUAGAUGCUGUAUCAUUUCAUAUGCAUUAAAAAUGUACAGUUUCAGUUAGGUUUACAUGACUUUGGUGGAUGUUCUCCAUUGGGUGAGCAUUGAACUCAUCAACAGUUGUCAACAGCGGUCAUCUUGCUGUGAAAUAGUUUUCUCAAAUGGUUUGAACUUCAUAAUGACCCUGUGACUGACGACCAUAUCCAUGGUGUAUAGUUUCCUUUUGUUCCAAGCCAGCUGAUAUAGGCUCUGGCAACAGCUGUGACACCUAACAAGAUAUGUCAUUUAUAAAAAAAUAUUUUUCUAUAUUUCUAUAUUGUUGACUGGCUCAAGUUUCACCCUAUUACAAAAACACAGUGUGUAAGCGCAUUGCACCAUGUGUAGUAAUAAGGCAUCUGGAUAGACUCAUGUAGCCUUUACAAUGGAACCUCACAUAAUAGCAAAUAUGUCCCCGUAGGCCAUUUGAACUAUUCUAGCGGUAAAUUUUCCAGGAAAAACAAAGACUUUUCGAGCCCUUGUUCAAGCACAUGGCAC
This is a non-coding RNA of Doryrhamphus excisus (bluestripe pipefish), 1458 nucleotides long. NCBI's taxonomy places the organism in Eukaryota, Metazoa, Chordata, Actinopteri, Syngnathiformes, Syngnathidae. The record is from RefSeq and is a predicted model, not a curated record.